GAUGAACGCUGGCGGCGUGCCUAAUACAUGCAAGUCGAGCGAACGGACGAGAAUCUCGCUUCUCUGAUGUUAGCGGCGGACGGGUGAGUAACACGUGGAUAACCUACCUAUAAGACUGGGAUAACUUCGGGAAACCGGAGCUAAUACCGGAUAAUAUUUUGAACCGCAUGGUUCAAAAGUGAAAGACGGUCUUGCUGUCACUUCUAGAUAUAUCCGCGCUGCAUUAGCUAGUUGGUAACGUAACGGCUUACCAUGGCAACGAUGCAUAGCCGACCUGAGAGGGUGUUGGCCGACACUGGGACUGAGCCGCGGUACAGAGUCCUACGGGAGGCACAGGUAGGGACUCUUCCGCGAUGGGCGGAAGCCUGACGGAGCAGCGCCAGGUUAGUGAUGAGGCUCUUCGGAGCGUAUGACGCUGUUCUUGGGGAAGAACAUUUGUGUAAGUAACUGUGCUCUUCUUGACGGUACCUAGACAGGAAGCCACGGCUAACUACGUG
This 497-nucleotide ribosomal RNA is filed under the name uncultured bacterium. RNAcentral describes it as "partial 16S ribosomal RNA". It matches the Rfam family "Bacterial small subunit ribosomal RNA", at positions 28 to 507 of the family's 1533-position model. The record is from RNAcentral.